AUAUCAAUAAGCGGAGGAAAAGAAACCAACAGGGAUUGCCCCAGUAACGGCGAGUGAAGCGGCAACAGCUCAAAUUUGAAAUCUGGCCCCCAGGGCCCGAGUUGUAAUUUGGAGAGGAUGCUUUUGGCGAGGCGCCGCCCGAGUUCCCUGGAACGGGACGCCGCAGAGGGUGAGAGCCCCGUCUGGCUGGCCGCCGAGCCUCUGUAAAGCUCCUUCGACGAGUCGAGUAGUUUGGGAAUGCUGCUCAAAAUGGGAGGUAUAUGUCUUCUAAAGCUAAAUACCGGCCAGAGACCGAUAGCGCACAAGUAGAGUGAUCGAAAGAUGAAAAGCACUUUGAAAAGAGGGUUAAACAGUACGUGAAAUUGUUGAAAGGGAAGCGCUCGUGACCAGACUUGGGCCUGGCGGAUCAUCCGGCGUUCUCGCCGGUGCACUUCGCCCGGCCCAGGCCAGCAUCAGUUCGCCCCGGGGGACAAAGGCGGCGGGAAUGUGGCUCCCCCGGGAGUGUUAUAGCCCGCCGCGCAAUGCCCUGGGGCGGACUGAGGUUCGCGCGUCCGCAAGGAUGCUGGCGUAAUGGUCACCAGCGACCCGUCUUGAAACACGGACCAAGGAGUCGUCCUCGUAUGCGAGUGUUCGGGUGUCAAACCCCUACGCGUAAUGAAAGUGAACGCAGGUGAGAGCUUCGGCGCAUCAUCGACCGAUCCUGAUGUUCUCGGAUGGAUUUGAGUAAGAGCAUACGGGGCCGGACCCGAAAGAAGGUGAACUAUGCCUGUAUAGGGUGAAGCCAGAGGAAACUCUGGUGGAGGCUCGCAGCGGUUCUGACGUGCAAAUCGAUCGUCAAAUAUGGGCAUGGGGGCGAAAGACUAAUCGAACCUUCUAGUAGCUGGUUUCCGC
RNAcentral lists this ribosomal RNA (891 nucleotides) under Hypomyces sinicus. Its description in RNAcentral is "partial large subunit ribosomal RNA". It matches the Rfam family "Eukaryotic large subunit ribosomal RNA", at positions 40 to 961 of the family's 3401-position model. The record is from RNAcentral. Lineage: Eukaryota; Fungi; Ascomycota; Sordariomycetes; Hypocreales; Hypocreaceae.